CCUACGGGAGGCAGCAGUGAGGAAUAUUGCUCAAUGGGCGCGAGCCUGAACCAGCCAAGUAGCGUGUAGGAUGAAUGCCCUACGGGUUGUAAACUUCUUUUAUAAAGGAAUAAAGUGAGGCACGUGUGCCUUCUUGUAUGUAUUUUAUGAAUAAGGAUCGGCUAACUCCGUGCCAGCAGCCGCGGUACUACGGAGGAUCCGAGCGUUAUCCGGAUUUAUUGGGUUUAAAGGGAGCGUAGAUGGUUUGUUAAGUCAGAUGUGAAAGUUUGCGGCUCAACCGGAAAAUUGCAAUUGAUACUGGCAGCCUUGAGUACAGUUGAGGUAGGCAGAAUUCGUGGUGUAGCGGUGAAAUGCGUAGAGAUCACGAAGAAUACCGAUUGCGAAGGCAGCCCACUAAACGGCCACUGACAUUGAUGCGCGAAAGCGUGGGUAGCAAACAGGAUUAGAUACCCCUGUAGUC
This 460-nucleotide ribosomal RNA is filed under the name uncultured bacterium. RNAcentral's name for it is "partial 16S ribosomal RNA". It matches the Rfam family "Bacterial small subunit ribosomal RNA", at positions 338 to 795 of the family's 1533-position model. The record is from RNAcentral.